Molecule: ribosomal RNA, 402 nt
Filed under: bacterium
Lineage: Bacteria
Also listed under: 1 other name
Description: partial 16S ribosomal RNA
Rfam family: Bacterial small subunit ribosomal RNA
Source: RNAcentral
UGGGGAAUUUUGCACAAUGGGGGAAACCCUGAUGCAGCGACGCCGCGUGAUUUAGAAGGCCUUCGGGUUGUAAAAAUCUUUUCUUUGGGAAGAAAAUGACAGUACCAUAGGAAUAAGGACCGGCUAAUUACGUGCCAGCAGCCGCGGUAAUACGUAAGGUCCGAGCGUUGUCCGGAAUCAUUGGGCGUAAAGGGUACGUAGGCGGGUAAGCAAGUUAGAAGUGAAAUCCUAUAGCUCAACUAUAGUAAGCUUUUAAAACUGCUCAUCUUGAGGUAUGGAAGGGAAAGUGGAAUUCCUAGUGUAGCGGUGAAAUGCGCAGAUAUUAGGAGGAAUACCGGUGGCGAAGGCGACUUUCUGGCCAUAACCUGACGCUGAGGUACGAAAGCGUGGGUAGCAAACAGG